AUGGCCUGGACUCCUCUGCUCCUCGCGCUCCUCUCUCUCUGCACAGGGUCCCUCUCCCAGCCUGUGCUGACCCAGCCGCCCUCCCUGUCGGCAUCUCCGGGAGCCACGGCCAGACUCCCCUGCACCCUGAGCAGCGACCUCAGUGUUGGAGGCUAUAACAUGUACUGGUACCAGCAGAAACCAGGGAGCGCGCCCCGGUUUUUCCUGUACUACUACUCAGACUCAGACAUGAAGCUGGGACCUGGGGUCCCCAGUCGAGUCUCUGGAUCCAAAGAAGCCUCGAGCAACACAGCGCAUCUGCUCAUCUCGGGACUGCAACCUGAGGACGAGGCUGACUAUUACUGUGCUAUUUACUAUAGCAGUGGCGGCAGCUACCGUUACCCACAGUGUCUCAGAGGACGAGGAACUUCUGCCUGA
Eptesicus fuscus (big brown bat) is the source of this 417-nucleotide non-coding RNA. NCBI's taxonomy places the organism in Eukaryota, Metazoa, Chordata, Mammalia, Chiroptera, Vespertilionidae. The record is from the annotation of a RefSeq genome assembly.